AGAACGAACGCUGGCGGCAGGCUUAACACAUGCAAGUCGAACGGGCGUAGCAAUACGUCAGUGGCAGACGGGUGAGUAACACGUGGGAACCUUCCUAGGGGUACGGAACAACUCAGGGAAACUUGAGCUAAUACCGUAUACGUCCGUAAGGAGAAAGAUUCAUCGCCCCUAGACGGGCCCGCGUCGGAUUAGGUAGUUGGUGGGGUAACGGCCUACCAAGCCUACGAUCCGUAGCUGAUCUGAGAGGAUGAUCAGCCACACUGGGACUGAGACGACGGCCCAGACCGUCCUACGGGAGCAGCAGGUGGGAAUCGUGGACAAGUGGGCGCGAAGCCGU
This 337-nucleotide ribosomal RNA is filed under the name uncultured soil bacterium. RNAcentral's name for it is "bacterial SSU rRNA". It matches the Rfam family "Bacterial small subunit ribosomal RNA", at positions 26 to 385 of the family's 1533-position model. The record is from RNAcentral.